CGGUUGAUCCUGCCGGAGGUUACUGCUAUCGGAGUUCGAGUAAGCCAUGCGAGUCUAAAGGUUUCUUCGGAAACCUUGGCGGACUGCUCAGUAACACGUGGAUAACCUACCCUUAGGACUGGAAUAACCCCGGGAAACUGGGGAUAAUACCGGAUAGAUCAGGGAUGCUGGAAUGCACCUUGAUCUAAAGCCCCGGCGCCUAAGGAUGGGUCUGCGGCCUAUCAGGUUGUAGUGGGUGUAACGUACCUACUAGCCGACGACGGGUACGGGUUGUGAGAGCAAGAGCCCGGAGAUGGAUUCUGAGACACGAAUCCAGGCCCUACGGGGUGCAGCAGGCGCGGAACCUUUACAAUGUGCGAAAGCAUGAUAAGGGGACUCCGAGUGCCAGCAUCUAAUGCUGGCUGUCCUUGUGCCUAAAAAGCACAAGAUAGCAAGGGCCGGGUAAGACCGGUGCCAGCCGCCGCGGUAACACCGGCGGCCCGAGUGGUAGCCGCUAUUAUUGGGUCUAAAGGGUCCGUAGCCGGUUCGAUAAGUCCUCUGGGAAAUCUGGUUGCUUAACAAUCAGACUGCCAAGGGAUACUGUCGAACUUGAGACCGGGAGAGGUAAGAGGUACUUCAGGGGUAGGAGUGAAAUCUUGUAAUCCCUGGGGGACCAUCUGUGGCGAAGGCGUCUUACCAGAACGGGUCUGACGGUGAGGGACGAAAGCUGGGGGCGCAAACCGGAUUAGAUACCCGGGUAGUCCCAGCCGUAAACGAUGCUCGCUAUGUGUC
This 771-nucleotide ribosomal RNA is filed under the name uncultured archaeon. RNAcentral's name for it is "bacterial SSU rRNA". It matches the Rfam family "Archaeal small subunit ribosomal RNA", at positions 5 to 775 of the family's 1478-position model. The record is from RNAcentral.